RNAcentral lists this non-coding RNA (26 nucleotides) under Homo sapiens (human). The record is from RNAcentral. Lineage: Eukaryota; Metazoa; Chordata; Mammalia; Primates; Hominidae.
UGGUGUGAUGCUACUGUAAUGUAAUA